Molecule: long non-coding RNA, 1944 nt
Organism: Nematostella vectensis (starlet sea anemone)
Lineage: Eukaryota; Metazoa; Cnidaria; Anthozoa; Actiniaria; Edwardsiidae
Exons: 2
Source: RefSeq, a predicted model, not a curated record
UUAUCCGUCGGUUAGCUAACCUACGAUCAGCGCAUUUUAACCCGGGAUUAGGCGCUAAUCUUGGGUUAAGCUAAUCGGCCUUUCGGGAACCGGCCCCUGGGCUAUUGCCCCCUCACUUCUCGUUUUGAACGAUUUGAUAGAUGAGGACUUAACAAGAUAAAGCACAACCAGCCUCCUUCUGUGAGCGAUAACGCUUACGCAUCUAUAAAAAGAAUACAUUAUUUCGACAUACAUCGUGAGGGAUCCAUGCGCACUAAAGUCAAGGUUGGGUGUAAAUAGCGGGAGAUGGUCGAUUGAGUCUGACGGGCUUGGAUCUAGUCGUAUCUACCGAACGUCGCACAUCUGGCCUCUGCAGACUCCCCGAUGAGUGAUCAGACCGAGACCGCGUGAUCACACUUUCGAUGUGUACACCCCGUCGCAACAAGACAACACAGAAAAUGCGGUCUCUCAUCAACCUCCCAUUCCGUACCCCAAAUAAAAAAUCCUAUAUUUCAGUUUUACAAUAAACGCGCAUACAAAGUCACGAAAUCGUACCAAUACGAUUUCCACAUAGAAAAUUAAAUCAGUAAAAUGAUUCUGAGACACCGGAUUUCGUUAGGAGACUUUCGAUUUGAAAGACUGAAUCCGCCGCGUUUGCUGAUAAUAUACUUUGUGUGUUUAUUAAGACAUUCUGUCUAUGUUUCCUAUUUGUUCAAUUAUCACUAGAAUCUGUUUUUCUUGUUUCUGUUGUUAUUCUAGAAGCUGCGUUAAAAAAUCACCAAUGGAAAAGGAAAUCGACACAAUUUCCGCACGAGUUUUAUUAUGGCCCUUAAAAUCUUAACCAUUGUUAGGUGAUUUUGUGACUGCUUUCAGUUCUUUAGCAUGCCAUUGUGUCACAAUUAAGUUUUCCCUUCAAAUAACCCGCAGUUUUUAUCAGCUUUAAAAUAGAAAAUUUGACCCUGCAAUGACGCAGAAGUUAUAAACCAUUCAGUUAAGUAACAAAACAAACAAAUGUAUAAUCCCAACAAUUGAAAUUCCCCCAAAAAUUGAAAUUCAGUUGGGUUUAUUCUUAACACGGCAGCACAGUAAUUGUGAUAACGAAUCAAGCGUUAUCUGAGCAAACUAUUUGAAUGUAAUCAAUAGAGAAUGCUAAAACAGUGACGAUAAUCGAACCCUUUGGGUGAUGUAUUAGCGGCCCGGAGCCAAUUGUGUGUAUGUGCUACCACGAAUGAGUCAAAUAAGGCGGUGUUCUGAUGAAAAAAUCUAUCAAUAAUGAAACACACAGAGCCACCUAGGCGACCAAUCUAACAUACCUCUCAAAAAACAAACACAUUUCUAAAACGGAAAAAAUACGCCGCAAAAUAUUCCGAUUGCAAUAACGGAAUUCCUCGUCAAUUAAAAUAAGGCAUACAAAAUUAUUAGGCCUAAUGAAGUUUUUAAUCUGACGCGGUAUAAACUCAGCAUACCUAAACGCUAACAUUGGCUAAAACAAACGAAACGGCUUGUUUACGAGAGCGGUGAUAAAUCAACAAAAACCACAAACUAAUUUCAACAUGAAAGUGGAGCCGAAAUUGAUUUUCUGUUACUCAUGGAAAACUCUAGACGCAAAUACCAUAAAUCACUUUUUUUCCAAGCUUUAUGACUUGUACAAGGACAUUUCUAAAAUGAAAAAUGUAAUUAUUCCCUCAUAAAUCUAAAUAUAACAGGCGUGAGUACGGAGAUCUGAAUCAAACUUGGGCCCACUAAGCCAUAGUAUUAUUCUGAAAAAAAAAAUAGACAGAAAAAAAUGUUUUUGUUUUAAAAAUAAUUGCAAAUGAAACUCGUUAAGAAAAUAAAAAAAUCACAUAAUGACAUAAUUCAUUAAAAAUGAAUGUAUAGUUAUUAUUUUGCUCGAAUAAAAUACUUCUGGAAAUGUAUGAAGCCACGUUAAUGAAAAAAUGAGCAAUUAAACAAGACUAUAUUGCG